AACCGUGUAUGUUUGCAGGUUUGAGUGAUUCAACCAUGUAUGUUUGCAGGUUUGAGUGAUUCAACCAUGUAUGUUUGCAGGUUUGAGUGAUUCAACCAUGUAUGUUUGCAGGUUUCAGUGAUUCAACCAUGUAUGUUUGCAGGUUUCAGUGAUUCAACCAUGUAUGUUUGCAGGUUUCAGUGAUUCAACCAUGUAUGUUUGCAGGUUUGAGUGAUUCGAACUGAUGUAUGUUUGCAGGUUUGAGUGAUUCGAACUGAUGUAUGUUUGAAGGUUUGAGAGAGUCGAACCGUAUGAUUGUGGUACAUUAGGUAUUAAGUCGAUGUUCUAAUACCAAGUUUGUAUGACCUUCGGGUAAAUAACAGGUGUGAGACCUAGGUUAUGUUUUGAAACGGUAAAGGAGAAGUGCACGGUGUUUACUAGACAGUGGCUAGAUUGGGACACAUUCUAAGGCAGCACACAAUUGAACCUGAUCAUUUAUAUUGUAUUCAAAUUAAAACAAGUAAUUGAAAUACAUUAGACAAUGGCUAAUCAGGAGGCAGAGAAGGUGUUGAAAACAUUGAAAUCGGCAUUAGAGACCAAUGGAGGAAAAGAGGGAAAAGAUUGGAGAAAGAAAGGAGAAAGAUUAUACAGA
Long non-coding RNA from Oncorhynchus tshawytscha (Chinook salmon), 631 nucleotides. Lineage: Eukaryota; Metazoa; Chordata; Actinopteri; Salmoniformes; Salmonidae. The record is from Ensembl.